This 253-nucleotide ribosomal RNA is filed under the name uncultured bacterium. RNAcentral's name for it is "partial 16S ribosomal RNA". It matches the Rfam family "Bacterial small subunit ribosomal RNA", at positions 524 to 776 of the family's 1533-position model. The record is from RNAcentral.
UACGGGGGGGGCAAGCGUUGUUCGGAAUUACUGGGCGUAAAGGGCUCGUAGGCGGCCAACUAAGUCAUACGUGAAAUCCCCCGGCUUAACCGGGGAACUGCGUCUGAUACUGGAUGGCUUGAGAUUGGGAGAGGGAUGCGGAAUUCCAGGUGUAGCGGUGAAAUGCGUAGAUAUCUGGAGGAACACCGGUGGCGAAGGCGACAUCCUGGACCAACACUGACGCUGAGGAGCGAAAGCCAGGGGAGCAAACGGG